This 672-nucleotide long non-coding RNA is filed under the name Lathyrus oleraceus (garden pea). RNAcentral's name for it is "Pisum sativum (pea) long non-coding RNA (PSAT_LNC020343)". The record is from RNAcentral. Lineage: Eukaryota; Viridiplantae; Streptophyta; Magnoliopsida; Fabales; Fabaceae.
AUAGAAUAAGAAACCCAAAUUAGAUUAUUAUUUUUAUUCGAACGACCUAAUUGAAAUUAUUUUCUUCCUUAUUUCGUUUUAUCAUCAUGAAACUAGAAAAUGAAUAUAUUUAAAUUAUUAGGUAGAAACACAAAUACAAAACGACAACUUAUGAAAUAUUUGUGUCCAAUCUUAAGUAAGAAACUAAAUACAAAAUAAAUCCAGAACUUAAUCUACAAGGCGAGACUAACAUAUCUACAUAUUUUAUUCUUACAAAUCACCAUAUAUGAUUUUGCACCCAAAAGAUUUGAGCAAUCAGAAUGUGUCACACAACUCAUAUGUUUCAGUGCUGCAAAAAAGAAAAGAAUAUAACUUUAAUAAUAUAAGAUAAAAUAUUUUAUGCAAAUAAAAGAAGUUUACAAGGGAUUAAAAAUGGAUUACCUUCGAUGUUCUUUGCAACGAGAAAUAUCAAAAUAAAUAUAAUCAUAACAUAAGCAAACAUGGAAAUUAAAACCAUUUAUUCUCUUGUGCGUGUAACAAUUUGAGUAGUUUUUAGUAUUUUUGUAGUUGUAAAAAAUCAUUCCUUCAAUAAUAGUUAUUAAAUAUACCUUAAACACAAAUUGUAUAGUAUUUGUCCCUUUAGCACACUAAAUAACAUGUCACAUAAAAAAACUAACUAAAUUACAACCCGUG